UUAACGAAUCGCAUGGCCCUGCGCCGGCGAUGGUUCAUUCAAAUUUCUGCCCUAUCAACUUUCGAUGGUAGGAUAGUGGCCUACCAUGGUUUCAACGGGUAACGGGGAAUUAGGGUUCUAUUCCGGAGAGGGAGCCUGAGAAACGGCUACCACAUCCAAGGAAGGCAGCAGGCGCGCAAUUACCCAAUCCCAACCUGGGGAGGUAGUGACAAUAAAUACUGAUACAGGGCUCUUUUGGGUCUUGUAAUUGGAAUGAGUACAAUUUAAAUCCCUUAACGAGGAACAAUUGGAGGGCAAGUCUGGUGCCAGCAGCCGCGGUAAUUCCAGCUCCAAUAGCGUAUAUUAAAGUUGUUGCAGUUAAAAAGCUCGUAGUUGAACCUUGGGUCUUGUUAGCGGGUGCCUCCCAACGGGGGUUACCAUCGACAGGCAGGGCCUUUCUCCUUGAGUAGUCCGGCGUGCCCUUCGCUGGGUGUGCCGGGCAAUCGGGACUUUUACUUUGAAAAAAUUAGAGUGUUCAAAGCAGGCAUAUGCUCGGAUACAUUAGCAUGGAAUAAUAGAAUAGGACGUUUCGGCUUAUUUUGUUGGUAUUGACGGCCGGCCGUAAUGAUUAAUAGGGAUAGUCGGGGGCAUCAGUAUUCAAUUGUCAGAGGUGAAAUUCUUGGAUUUAUUGAAGACUAACUACUGCGAAAGCAUUUGCCAAGGAUGUUUUCAUUAAUCAGUGAACGAAAGUUAGGGGAUCGAAGACGAUCAGAUACCGUCGUAGUCUUAACCAUAAACUAUGCCGACUAGGGAUCGGGCGAUGUUGUUAUACUGACUCGCUCGGCACCUUACGAGAAAUCAAAGUCUCUGGGUUCUGGGGGGAGUAUGGUCACAAGGCUGAAACUUAAAGGAAUUGACGGAAGGGCACCACCAGGAGUGGAGCCUGCGGCUUAAUUUGACUCAACACGGGGAAACUCACCAGGUCCAGACACAUUAAGGAUUGACAGAUUGAGAGCUCUUUCUUGAUCAUGUGGGUGGUGGUGCAUGGCCGUUCUUAGUUGGUGGAGUGAUUUGUCUGCUUAAUUGCGAUAACGAACGAGACCUUAACCUGCUAAAUAGCCAGGCCCGCAUCAGGCGGGUCGCCUGGCUUCUUGGAGGGACUAUCGGCUCAAGCCGAUGGAAGUUUGAGGCAAUAACAGGUCUGUGAUGCCCUUAGAUGUUCUGGGCCGCACGCGCGCUACACUGACAGAGCCAACGAGUACAUCACCU
RNAcentral lists this ribosomal RNA (1248 nucleotides) under metagenome. RNAcentral's name for it is "SSU rRNA". It matches the Rfam family "Eukaryotic small subunit ribosomal RNA", at positions 260 to 1529 of the family's 1831-position model. The record is from RNAcentral.